AGUGAACGCUGGCGGUAGGCCUAACACAUGCAAGUCGAACGGUAACAGGUCUUCGGAUGCUGACGAGUGGCGAACGGGUGAGUAAUACAUCGGAACGUGCCUAGUAGUGGGGGAUAACUACUCGAAAGAGUGGCUAAUACCGCAUGAGAUCUACGGAUGAAAGCAGGGGAUCGCAAGACCUUGUGCUACUAGAGCGGCCGAUGGCAGAUUAGGAAGUUGGUGGGAUAAAAGCUUACCAAGCCGACGAUCUGUAGCUGGUCUGAGAGGACGAUCAGCAACACUGGGACUGAGACACGGCCCAGACUCCUACGGGAGGCAGCAGUGGGGAAUUUUGGACAAUGGGCGAAAGCCUGAUCCAGCAAUGCCGCGUGCAGGAUGAAGGCCUUCGGGUUGUAAACUGCUUUUGUACGGAACGAAAAGCCCCGGGUUAAUACCCUGGGGUCAUGACGGUACCGUAAGAAUAAGCACCGGCUAACUACGUGCCAGCCGCCGCGGUAA
Molecule: ribosomal RNA, 498 nt
Filed under: uncultured bacterium
Lineage: Bacteria
Description: partial 16S ribosomal RNA
Rfam family: Bacterial small subunit ribosomal RNA
Source: RNAcentral